Arachis ipaensis is the source of this 739-nucleotide non-coding RNA. The record is from RefSeq and is a predicted model, not a curated record. Lineage: Eukaryota; Viridiplantae; Streptophyta; Magnoliopsida; Fabales; Fabaceae.
ACCCCCUCACUGCCGCCAACACGAAGCUCCUACCCUCUUCUCGCGCGUCUGAGUCUCACUAUUCAUCACGUUCUCAGUCGCAACAUUGUCGUCGCAUCUGGCCAGCUGAGGAGAACAUCGCCAUCUCCACCUGACCCAGUCGAGGAGAGCAUGUUCGUCGCCACCUGACCCAGCCGAGGCAGUAGCGCCAGCGUUACUACAGAGCCCCUUCGCCAACCUUCGCGUCUUCGCCUCUCCGCGUCAUCUCAUCUCGCCUUCACGUCUUCGCUUCUUCGCCUUGUCGCCGAUUUUCACCGUCAGCUCAGCUACUCUUCCUUUCAAAGGGGAGUUAAAAAUGUUAUAAGGGAAAAAGCAACGUGGAAACGGAUAUGGUGUUGAGGGUGCAGAGGAUAAUUAAGAAGUUGAAUAUAAUUGAGUUACAAGUGUUUUAUGGCGGUAACAAUGGCGAAGCCUGUGAUUUGAUAAUGAGGGGUUCUCCUUGUAUGCAAUCAUGUGGCAUUUAUAAAGACACUGAAAUGGUUGCUCAGGAUUUAAAUAAAUCAGAAUUUAUCAUCACUAUCAUCACAGGAUGAAAGAAGACUUGAGAAUUAUAUUUUUUAGUUUUUGAAUAUGUUUGGUUGUUUUAAUGUUUUACAAAUAUAUUUAGUAGAGAUGUUUGUUGCUUAUUGUUCAUUUAAGUAUUUGGAGACAACAAAAAAUAUGUUUGUAAUAACAAUUAGGAAUGAUCUUUAAUUUUUUU